AUUGAACGCUGGCGGCAGGCCUAACACAUGCAAGUCGAACGAGUGGCGGACGGGUGAGUAAUGUCUGGGAAACUGCCCGAUGGAGGGGGAUAACUACUGGAAACGGUAGCUAAUACCGCAUACCAUCGGAUGUGCCCAGAUGGGAUUAGCUAGUAGGGGGGGUAACGGCUCACCUAGGCGACGAUCCCUAGCUGGUCUGAGAGGAUGACCAGCAACACGGGAACUGAGACACGGUCCAGACUCCUACGGGAGGCAGCAGUGGGGAAUUUUGGACAAUGGGGGAGACCCUGAUCCAGCCAUCCCGCGUGUGCGAUGAAGGCCUUCGGGUUGUAAAGCACUUUUGGCAGGGAAGCGGUACCUGCAGAAUAAGCACCGGCUAACUACGUGCCAGCAGCCGCGGUAAUAC
This 406-nucleotide ribosomal RNA is filed under the name uncultured bacterium. RNAcentral describes it as "partial 16S ribosomal RNA". It matches the Rfam family "Bacterial small subunit ribosomal RNA", at positions 30 to 526 of the family's 1533-position model. The record is from RNAcentral.